This 468-nucleotide ribosomal RNA is filed under the name uncultured bacterium. RNAcentral's name for it is "partial 16S ribosomal RNA". It matches the Rfam family "Bacterial small subunit ribosomal RNA", at positions 28 to 507 of the family's 1533-position model. The record is from RNAcentral.
GACGAACGCUGGCGGCGUGCUUAACACAUGCAAGUCGAACGGAAAGGCCCUGCUUUUGUGGGGUGCUAGAGUGGCGAACGGGUGAGUAACACGUGAGUAACCUGCCCUUGACUUUGGGAUAACUUCAGGAAACUGGGGCUAAUACCGGAUAGGAGCUCCUGCUGCAUGGUGGGGGUUGGAAAGUUUCGGCGGUUGGGGAUGGACUCGCGGCUUAUCAGCUUGUUGGUGGGGUAGUGGCUUACCAAGGCUUUGACGGGUAGCCGGCCUGAGAGGGUGACCGGCCACAUUGGGCCUGAGAUACGGCCCAGACUCCUACGGGAGGCAGCAGUGGGGAAUAUUGCACAAUGGGCGGAAGCCUGAUGCAGCAACGCCGCGUGCGGGAUGACGGCCUUCGGGUUGUAAACCGCUUUCGCCUGUGACGAAGCGUGAGUGACGGUAAUGGGUAAAGAAGCACCGGCUAACUACGUG